UACAGGGGGGGCAAGCGUUGUUCGGAAUUACUGGGCGUAAAGGGUUCGUAGGUGGCUUACUAAGUCAGACGUGAAAUCCCUCAGCUUAACUGGGGAACUGCGUCUGAUACUGGAAAGCUUGAGUGCAGGAGAGGAACGCGGAAUUCCAGGUGUAGCGGUGAAAUGCGUAGAUAUCUGGAGGAACACCGGUGACGAAGGCGGCGUUCUGGACUGCAACUGACACUGAUGAACGAAAGCCAGGGGAGCAAACGGG
This 253-nucleotide ribosomal RNA is filed under the name uncultured bacterium. RNAcentral's name for it is "partial 16S ribosomal RNA". It matches the Rfam family "Bacterial small subunit ribosomal RNA", at positions 524 to 776 of the family's 1533-position model. The record is from RNAcentral.